RNAcentral lists this long non-coding RNA (6261 nucleotides) under Manihot esculenta (cassava). Its description in RNAcentral is "long non-coding RNA (MESC_LNC002180)". Lineage: Eukaryota; Viridiplantae; Streptophyta; Magnoliopsida; Malpighiales; Euphorbiaceae. The record is from RNAcentral.
GAGGUAUCUUAUAUCCCUAUAUUAAAUUGGCCUAAUCUUUUGUCCAAGAAAAAUAGGCAAGAAAGAAAUAAACUUCUUUUGAUUGCUUUGAGUGUUGUAAUGAUUAUGGAUGUCAAAUUGUAUUUACCCUAAGAGUAGGUUUCUAGAGGGACCAGUUCCCAUCAUCUUAAAAGUUAUCAAAAUCUUAUUAGUAAUCAAUAUGAUGUCAUCAUAAAAUGCAUUGAAGUUGUGCUUUUCUUCUAGAAUUUUCAAUUACAAAAAAAUCUUGAUGUAUUAUCUAGAAUAAUGUAGGUAACUAGCAUUGUAGUAAUAUAGAUUCCAUCACCUUCUUAAAUUACUUUAAAUAUGUAAAGCUUUACUUGCAAAGAAGAGGAAAAGGGUCACUAAAAGCCUUAUAGUCAUACCUCUCUCAGUUGUUUAAAUAUGUAAAGCUUUUCUUCUUUCAGUUGUUUUCCCAUUGUUCUAUUUUCGAAAUGCAUUGCAUCAUAAGGGUACAAAGCUCUUUAGUUCAUGGGUUAGGAUAUUGAAGGGUUUAUGUCUAUAUAGGUUGUGUUCUUGAGUAAGGGAUCGUGUCACGAGUCGAUGAAUCACAAAGUCUUCUUCAAGAGUCAGCCCCUUGUUUCUAUUUCGACCCCUUCUUGAUGAACCUAUGGUUGCUGAAAUGUAGAGCUCUUCUGAGGGAGCCCUUGAACCUCAAGACCUAUUAAGAGAGACAGUUUGACUUUUCAGAUUAUGUGUUUGAAAUAUUGCUUGCUUUAUUGAUGUAAAUUAUCUCUUUAUAUAAGAGAAAUUACAAUAAGGAAAUAGAGUUCAAUUACAUGAUAAUUGCUCACUAAUUGCAAUCAGAAUAAUUAGAGUAAUUGCUGGACAGCAUAAUGGAAUCCUGAAUUGAAGGUGAUUGCCAUGAUAAUUGCCAUUUCCUGUUUCCUUCCUUGUCGAGAGCUUAAUCAGUGUGUGAAUUCCCUCCUAUUGUGGGCUUAUUGCGUCUGUGAUACAUCUUUCCAAUGAAGGCAUCUAUAACAUCACUUUCCUCUUGGACAAAUAGCUUUUCCUCAAGCGUGAAGUCAGGGUAUGUUGAGUGGAAGUGGGAAAGGGGUUCCCAGGUGGAAUCAUCAAUUGUCAAGCUAGACCAGUGGACCAAAAUUUCCCAUUCACCACGAUUGAUACGAGCCUUAAGUAUUUGCUGAGGUUUGGAAACAACAUGUCCAUCAUGUAGGGUGGAUGAUGUGGGCAUGGUGGAGGGAGGAGAUCCUUUAAAAUGCUUUAACAAGGAUGCGUGGAAUACAUCAUGGACCUUACUUAUAGGAGGUAAGGCAAGUGGGUAAGCAACAUCGUCGAUGCGUUUCAAUAUUUGAAAAGGACCAUAAUAUUUGGGCAGGAACUUGUUACCCUGCUGUUUUGAGACAGAAAGUUGAUGGAAGGGGUAUAAGCAAAGCAAAGCCCAAGUUGCUGGUUCAAAGGUGACAUCUCGAUGGCCUUUUUCACAAUGCUCCAUCAUCCUUGUUUGAGCUUGUUGAAGAGGAGACUGAAUUUACUUUCAGUACUUACUCGCGAUUCAAUAAUGCUUGGUCCACUGCCUCUACGCGAGAGCUGCACAGAGUAUAGGACAACAAUCUGGGGGGUGCACACCCAUAAAUAACCUGAAAUGGGAAAGUUUUAAGGGUUGUAUGGAAAGAAGUAUUGUAGCAAAACUCUGCCCAUGGGAGCCAUUCUACCCAACUCUUUAAUUUGUCACCUAUGAAACAACGAAGGUACAUUUCGAUGGUGCAGUUUACCACUUCGGUUUAGCCAUCUGAUUGCGGAUGAUACGUUGAUGAAAAUGCUAAUUUGGUUCCAACCAAACGAAACAAUUCCUUUCAAAAAUUGCUUGUAAAGACAACAUCAUAGUCACUCACAAUAGAUUCAAUCAGGAAGUCCAUGUAGACGGACGAUACGAGAGAAGAAAAUAUGAGUCACACUGAUUGCCCCAUAAGGAUGGGGCAGGGAAUGAAGUGGGCAUAUUUUGAAAAGCGAUCAACCACCACCACUAACACUGUCUUCCCUUUUACUUUUGGUAACCCUUCAAUAAAAUCCAUGGAGAUGUCGGACCAAACCUGCGUGGGAAGUUGCAAUGGCUGUAGUAAUCCGGCAGGAUGUAAAUUGGAAGUUUUAUUUUGGUGGCAAACAGGGCAGGAGGCAGCAAAUUCUGUAAUGACCGAUUUCAUACAUUCGCAAUAAAACUCGUUGCGAAUUCGGUAGAGGUGGUUUUCUGCACUCCUUCAUGAGUUCCAUUAUGAAUAGCAUUCAAGAUGGUCUCAAUCAAGGGAGAAGUGGAGGAGAGAUGAACCUUAUUUCGGUAAAAUAUCAGCUGUUCAUGUACUGUCCAGUCAGAAUCAGCAUCGCCAUUGAGGAUUUGUUGCUGCAAUUGAGAUAGGAAUUCAGUUUUAGCAAUUUCACGUCUGAUUGCAUCAAAUAAAAGGACAUGUGGCUGGGAAAUCACCAUGAAUAAUUUAGGUUCAUCUUGGCGGCGUGAAAGAGCAUCGACUGUCUUGUUGUGCUUCCCCACUUUAUACUCAACCCGAAAGAUAAAGCCCAUAAGCUUACACAACCAAGGUUGUUGGGGAGGAGUUGUGAGGCAUUGUUCAAGCAAAUACUUAAGACUGAAAUGGUCUGUGCGAAUGACAAAAGAUGUGCCCCAAAGAUAUGCAUGCCAAUGUUGAAUUGCUUUGGCAGUCCAAUCAGUUCGCGCUCAUAAGCUGCCAACCAGUGAUGACGAACUGCUAACCGACGACUGAAAAAAGCUAUGGGAUGCCUCUUGCUGGAGGACAUCACUGAUACUUUUGCCACUAGAGGCAUCACACUCAACCUCAAAUUUCUUAUUGAAAUUCGGUAGCUGUGGGAUAGGGGAUUGAAACAUGGCUUGUUUUAAUCUUUCAAAUGCUAUUAUGGAGUCUUCGGUCCAUUUCAAAUAGUUCUUUUUUAAUAAUCGUGUAAGAGGUGCAGCAAUUUGCCCAUAAUCCCAAAUAAAUUUUCUGUAGUAGCUAGUCAAGCCAAGAAAUUCGCACAAGGCUGUUAGGGAUUGAGGAAGAGGCCAAUUCGUUAUGGCACUUAUUUUGGUAGUAUCCGCUCAAACUCCACUGGUGAUAUGCCUCAAAUAGGCUCCUUGUUGCUCACCAAAUGAACAUUUAGAUUUUUUUAAAAAUAAAUGGUGAGCACAAAGCAAUUGAAAGACAAGCUAAAUGUGAGUCAAAUGCUCUUCCCAAGUCUUGCUAUAAAUUAAUAUGUCAUCAAAGAAAGUCAGAACGAAGUUGCAGAGAUAAAUGUUGAAAUACCUCGUUCAUUAAUGCUUGAAAAGUGGAAGGGGCAUUAGAGAGACCAAGCAGCAUGACUAGAAAUUCAAAGUGCCCAUGGUGUGCGUGGAAGGCGGUCUUUUCAACAUCAGUUGCUGCCAUACGAACUUGAUCUCAAAUCAAGUUUUGUGAAAUAUUUGGCUCCAUGGACUUCAUCUAACAAUUCAUCUACAAUAGGAAUAAGAAAUUUAUCAUUUAUUGUCUUCCAUUGAGUUCACGACAGUCUGAUGUAAAACCGCCAUGAACCAUCAUGCUUUUUUACCAACAGGACAGGGGAAGAAAAUGGAGAUUGAUUUGGCCGUAUGAUUCCUUGUGAAGCAUAUCUGCACACUGUCUCUCGAUCUCAUUUUUAUGCAAAUAUGAAUACCGAUAAGGGCCAACUAGCACAAGAGGGGAACCAGGAAGCAAACAAAUACGGUGGUCACAUUUGCGGAUUGGGGGCAACCUUGUAGGCUCCUGAAAUAGAAUGUGAAAGUCACCUAAUAGAGGAUCCAGCUGCGGGUGUUUGUCUUGUGGGUAUAAUACAUGGAGAUGUGGCUGAAGCUCAACCUGCAAGCCUUGCAAAACAACCUGUUCAUGGUGAGUGUUGCAAAGUUCCACUAGAUUGGCCCUAAUGUCAUUAACAAUUGUACUCCAAGAACUAUAUCAAAUCCAGUUAAAGGUAUAAUGUAAAGUUCAAUGGGAAAAAACAUUUUGCAAGUAGGAGAUCCGUUUUACAGAGGAAUUUUCUGCCCAUUAGCUACUGCCACUUGGCGACCGGUUCCUUGUUUAACCGGAAUGUGUAAAUGUUGAGCAGCCAUGCUACUUAGGAAAUUAUGGGUGCUACUUGAGUCAGAUUAGUACUUUUAUUAGACAGCCAUGGAUUUAUGCAACCACCUGCAUGGUGCGAGAAUGUUGGAACCCAGUAAUGGCAUGCAAGGAAAUUGUCGGUUCUACUUCUGUUUCAUUGUUCAGAUUGUCAUUCUCUAGGCCUGAAUCAUCAAUUUCUAGCCAAAAUAAUUUCUUAUAUUGAUAGCUGGCGCUGUACAUUUCGUCACAAUUAUAGCAUAGUCCCCUUGUCCUCCUAUUUGCCAUUUCUGCUCGGGAUAGCUUCUUAAUAAAGGGUGUGGAGUUGCUACCACUACUCAAAACUGUGAUGGAGUUGCUUCUUGUGGUAGAGAGUGCUUUUGGUGUCAUAGUUGAUUUGUUAUUAACCCAGUUACUCCUCUGGUACCCCCAAUUCUUUCCUAUGUGCUGCUUCUUCUUAAAGGCUUGAGCAAGACUCAUGGCUGUUAUUAGAUUGGGCGGAUUUUGCAGUUCCACAACCACCCGUAUGUCCUCUGAUAGGCCUGUCGUAAAAAAAUCAACCUGUUGAUCCACUCAAACAGUAGUAGCUCGGGCUAACAAGUUUUGAAAUUGUCUUUAAUAUUCUUUUAUGGAACCAGUAUGCUUUAAGUUGACUAAUUCUCCCAAUGGUUUAGAUUGGAGUGGAGGACCAAACCUCAUGUUGCAAUAUUCUCUUUGAAGUAUUCUUUGAAGGUUGUUCAAGGUAGCCUUGGUUCCUCCUGACUAAUUUUGUGGAACCAUAAUUGAGCCUCGCCUAUCAAAUGAAAGGCUGCAAUCCCCACCUUAUCAUCCUCAGGUGUUCGUUGGUUUAAAAAAAAUUGAUCACAUCUAUGCAACCAACUGAGUGGGUCUUUUGACCCAUCAAAUACGGGAAAGUCCAUUUUGACAUAUUGCGGCACCAUCCCUCCCGUAGGUCGUGCAUCUGCAUAUCUCCCUUGCGUCUCAUUUCUUGGUUCUGAAGUGGGUGGGUACUGCUACUCAUUCCCACUUCAGGUUCAUUGUCUCCGCUGAUACUAAGGAUGCCCAGAAUUUUCUAUAUUUGAUGGAAUAAAUUUUGAAAUUGAGUCUCCAAGCAUGGUUCCACCAAUGCCACCCGAGCUUCAUUUUGAGACUGGAUCUCUUGGAUAAGAGAUUUUAGUUCAUCUCUUGUAGGAUCUCCCAUGAUAGUUGGCUCUAAUACCAAGUCGUGUUCUUGAGUAAGGGGCUGUGUCACGAGUCGAUGAACCACAAAGUUUUCUUCAAGAGUCAGCUCCUUGUUUCUAUUUGGACCUCUUCUUAAUGAAUCUAUGGUUGCUGAAACGUAGAGCUCUUCUGAGGGAGCCUUUGAACCUCAAGACUUGUUAAGAGAGACAAAGUCUGACUUUUUAGAUUGUGUUUGAAAUAUUGCUUGCUUUAUUGAUGAUAAUUAUCUAUUUAUAUAAGAGAAAUUACAAUAAAGAAAUAAAAUUCAAUUACAUGAUAAUUGCUUACUAAUUGCAAUUAGAAUAAUUAGAGUAAUUGCUGGACAGCAUAAUGGAAUCCUGAAUUGAAGGUGAUUGCCAUGAUAAUUGCCAUUUCCUGUUUCCUUGUCGAGAGCUUAAUUAGUGCAUGAAUUCCCUCCUAUUGUGGGCUUACUGCGUCUUUGAUACAUCUUUCCAAUGAAGGCGUCUAUAACAAUAUGUUAGUUUGGUCAGUGAUAAGACAUGACUACCUCAUAGUGAAGAGCAAUUUGCUAUACGCCAAUAACAUGCAUGUAGCUGUAAGUCCAAUAUGUUAGCAAGCAUGUGAAAAAUCUUCUAAAGAAUAAGAACACCUUAAAAAGUAAAUAGCUUUGAAGAGAAUGCAGAAAGCAAUUAUGUAGUAUGAAAUUCUCUGUAGCAGUCAACUUUAAGUUUAUUCUAAUUAUUUUUUUAUAACAUUUAUUGAAAUUCCUUCACUAUAUUAUUCUUUGCCCCUUCAAAUUUGAAGUUAUUGUCUCCAAAUUUGAGUAACAAGGUUAAGAAACAUAGUACUCUGAAUGGAUGAUUUCCUUGAUAAAUGUUAAUGAUAGUGCGUGCAUCAGUAAUUUUGGCUACUUUUGCUUGACUUAUAAAUGUUUAUGGAUAAAAAAUUUGGCAGGAAAGGGCAG